RNAcentral lists this ribosomal RNA (246 nucleotides) under uncultured Lactobacillus sp. Its description in RNAcentral is "partial 16S ribosomal RNA". It matches the Rfam family "Bacterial small subunit ribosomal RNA", at positions 116 to 354 of the family's 1533-position model. Lineage: Bacteria; Bacillati; Bacillota; Bacilli; Lactobacillales; Lactobacillaceae. The record is from RNAcentral.
CGUGGGUAACCUGCCCAAGAGAUCGGGAUAACACCUGGAAACAGAUGCUAAUACCGGAUAACAACAGAUGAUGCCUAUCAACUGUUUAAAAGAUGGUUCUGCUAUCACUCUUGGAUGGACCUGCGGUGCAUUAGCUAGUUGGUAGGGUAACGGCCUACCAAGGCGAUGAUACAUAGCCGAGUUGAGAGACUGAUCGGCCACAUUGGGACUGAGACACGGCCCAAACUCCUACGGGAGGCAGCAGGC